UACUUAGUGGCGGACGGGUGAGUAAUGCUUAGGAAUCUGCCUAGUAGUGGGGGAUAACUUGGGGAAACCCAAGCUAAUACCACAUACGACCUACGGGUGAAAGGGGGCUUUUAGCUCUCGCUAUUAGAUGAGCCUAAGUCGGAUUAGCUGGUUGGUGGGGUAAAGGCCUACCAAGGCGACGAUCUGUAGCUGGUCUGAGAGGAUGAUCAGCCACACUGGGACUGAGACACGGCCCAG
RNAcentral lists this ribosomal RNA (237 nucleotides) under uncultured Pseudomonadales bacterium. RNAcentral's name for it is "partial 16S ribosomal RNA". It matches the Rfam family "Bacterial small subunit ribosomal RNA", at positions 89 to 334 of the family's 1533-position model. The record is from RNAcentral. Lineage: Bacteria; Pseudomonadati; Pseudomonadota; Gammaproteobacteria; Pseudomonadales.